GACGAACGCUGGCGGCGUGCUUAACACAUGCAAGUCGAACGGGGAUUUUUAUUUCGGUAGAAAUUCUAGUGGCAAACGGGUGAGUAACGCGUAGACAACCUGCCUUUCCGAUGGGGACAACAGUUCGAAAGGACUGCUAAUACCGAAUGACGUGUCUCCUCCGCAUGGAAGAGAUACCAAAGACGGCCUCUAUUUAUAAGCUGUCGCGGAAAGAUGGGUCUGCGUCUGAUUAGCUGGUUGGAGGGGUAACGGCCCACCAAGGCGACGAUCAGUAGCCGGUCUGAGAGGAUGAACGGCCACAUUGGGACUGAGAAACGGCCCAAACUCCUACGGGAGGCAGCAGUGGGGAAUCUUCCGCAAUGGACGAAAGUCUGACGGAGCAACGCCGCGUGAGUGAAGAAGGUCUUCGGAUCGUAAAGCUCUGUUGUACGGGACGAAUGUUGAAGGCGUGAAUAAUGCCAUCAAAUGACGGUACUGUACGAGGAAGCCACGGCUAACUACGUG
RNAcentral lists this ribosomal RNA (504 nucleotides) under uncultured organism. RNAcentral describes it as "bacterial SSU rRNA". It matches the Rfam family "Bacterial small subunit ribosomal RNA", at positions 28 to 507 of the family's 1533-position model. The record is from RNAcentral.